GAGAGAGACAUGCGCGCAUAUCAAUAAGCGGAGGAAAAGAAACUAACAAGGAUUCCCUUAGUAACGGCGAGUGAAGCGGGAAGAGCUCAAAUUUGAAAUCUUCAAGGUUUUACCUUGACGAAUUGUAGUUUAAAGAAGUGUUUUCUGCUGAAGUUUUGGUAAAAGUUCUUUGGAAUAGGACAUCAUAGAGGGUGAGAAUCCCGUAUUUGACCAUUAUUUUCAGCUUUGUGAUACACUUUCAAAGAGUCGGAUUGUUUGGGAAUGCAGUCCAAAAUGGGUGGUAAAUUUCAUCUAAAGCUAAAUAUUGGCGAGAGACCGAUAGCGAACAAGGUACCGUGAGGGAAAGAUGAAAAGAGCUUUGAAAAGAGAGUUAAACAGUACGUGAAAUUGUCAAAAGGGAAGCGUUUGACACCAGUGUUGUUUUCUCGAAAAUCAAUUAAAAAUGGCUCGAUUUUGUAUUGCUUGAGACCUUAAAAGCUCACUGUACAUUUUUCGUGUCUUUUUUAAUGCACUUUUCCGUUUAACAAGUCAACAUCAGUUUCUUUUGUUGUAAAAGGGUCAUUGGAAGGUGGCUUUCUUUUCGGAGAAAGUGUUUAUAGCCUUUGGCCUCUGCAAUCGAAGAGACUGAGGUCUGCAGCGUAGACUCUUCGGGGUUAGAUACAUUUGUGCUAAGUUAUAGCUUUUUAUAGACAACUUGUUGACUAUAAUUAGUCUUGUAGCUUACUCGCUUAUGCUAUUUUACCUACGCUUAGGAUGUUGAGUCGUAGAGCACGCAG
Molecule: ribosomal RNA, 776 nt
Filed under: uncultured Neocallimastigales
Lineage: Eukaryota; Fungi; Neocallimastigomycota; Neocallimastigomycetes; Neocallimastigales
Description: partial large subunit ribosomal RNA
Rfam family: Eukaryotic large subunit ribosomal RNA
Source: RNAcentral